RNAcentral lists this ribosomal RNA (468 nucleotides) under uncultured bacterium. Its description in RNAcentral is "partial 16S ribosomal RNA". It matches the Rfam family "Bacterial small subunit ribosomal RNA", at positions 28 to 507 of the family's 1533-position model. The record is from RNAcentral.
GACGAACGCUGGCGGCGUGCUUAACACAUGCAAGUCGAACGGAAAGGCCCGGCCUUUGUGGGGUGCUCGAGUGGCGAACGGGGGAGUAACACGUGAGUAACCUGCCCUUGACUUUGGGAUAACUUCAUGAAACUGGGGCUAAUACCGGAUAGGAGCUCCUGCUGCAUGGUGGGGGUUGGAAAGUUUCGGCGGUUGGGGAUGGACUCGCGUCCUAUCAGCUUGUUGGUGGGGUAGUGGCUUACCAAGGCCUUGACGGGUAGCCGGCCUGAGAGGGUGACCGGCCACAUUGGGACUGGGAUGCGGCCCAGCCUCCUCCGGGAGGCAGCAGUGGGGAAUAUUGCACUAUGGGCGGAAGCCUGAUGCAGCAACGCCGCGUGCGGGAUGACGGCCUUCGGUUUGUAUUCCGCUUUCGCCUGUGCCGAAGCGUGAGUGACGGUAAUGGGUAAAGAAGCACCGGCUAACUACGUG